Oncorhynchus tshawytscha (Chinook salmon) is the source of this 1924-nucleotide long non-coding RNA. The record is from Ensembl. NCBI's taxonomy places the organism in Eukaryota, Metazoa, Chordata, Actinopteri, Salmoniformes, Salmonidae.
CCCCAUAGCUGUGGUUGUAUCUGACCCUUUGCCUCCAGCCCUCCAGCCAGUGCCGGGAAAAGCCUGGAUUAGUAGCAGAGAGAAUUGGGUAACUUAAUCUUCUCUCUAGGUGGGUCUCUUUGGGUCCCCCCCUCUCUCUCAAUCCAUGUAUUUCUCUCUCUCUGGGUGUCUGUCUCUAUUUCCAUGCUAUUUUUAUGAUGUGGAUGGAUAUUCUGAGCACCAGACUCUAUAGGGAACAGAUAUUCCCAUCGGAUUCCAUUUCAAACUCUAUGUUUAGGAGAAGAAACUGUGCUAGGGUAACAUGUGUAAAGACAGAAUAGUCAUGUGUGCUGCUGGAAAAAGAAGGCACACUACAUACAUCAAUAGUAUCAAACAUUCACAUCUAUAGGUUUUAAACUUCAUUUAUACUUUCUUUAUGAGCUUUCUUGCAAUGUCCCUCCCUGCAGAACGGAAUACUAGACUAAGAAAACUUCUAGCAAUACAUUUUAAUUAAUUUAAGCUUUUUUUAUGUGUUGACCUGGUUUGUAGUGAAAGAAGCAGUGUGUGUUUGUGUGUGUGUUUGUACUCUAACCAUCUGUCUGGCAGGAUUAGGAGGGGAAGUGGAGAGGAUGUGCCUGGCAUUGUUUUGGCAUUGUGUCUAUAUUAUGUUAGUAUUGUAUCAAAUAGGUUGGUAUUGGGUGUGUAUUGUGUUAGUAUUGUAUCAAAUAGGUUGGUAUUGGGUGUGUAUUGUGUUAGUAUUGUAUCAAGUAGGCUGGUAUUGGGUGUGUAUUGUGUUAGUAUUGUAUCAAAUAGGUUGGUAUUGGGUGUGUAUUGUGUUAGUAUUGUAUCAAAUAGGUUGGUAUUGGGUGUGUAUUGUGUGGGCUCUAUGUGUGUUAACUGUGUUCGCAUGAAAGACAACAGAAGUCAUCAUCUCUGAUUAGUAGUUCAUCUGGAGAUGCGUGCCUGCAUGAGUUUCUCUCUGGCCCUGAGUCACUCUGCUGGUGAAAAGACUUCAGUCCAGCUGUUGUUUUUGUGGUGAUUAUAGUGAGAGUUAAACCAGUGAAGUCACACUGUUGUUUAAGAGACAAUAAGCUGUAGUUGUAGGGAGAGUAGGUGGGCAGCAGGUGAGCUGAUGUCACCACCUAGCCAGAAGUCAGAGCAUCAUGUGGGCACACUCCAACCUGCCUCACAACACCACAAGACAUACUGAUGUACCCUAAUAGAUCAAAUUGAUUUGUAAAGCUUAGAAAACAAGCAGUGAACACACUACAAUGCCAUUUUAAACUGUCAAAAUGGAUAAAUCAUGGUUUAUCCCUAUGCCUUUGGCAAGGUGCUUAGUUGCGGUUCAAAUGUGUGUGUCUGUCCUCAGCAAGGUGUUUAGCUGUCUAACCAUUUCCAGAGGAGCAGGCCCUUUAACCACAGUGAAUAGUCUCGGUAAUGUCCCCUACUGUAAAUACUAAUGUCUGGAUGGAACAAGCUGGAUUCUUGGAGCAGAGAGAAAGAAUACUGGUACACAGGAGAGAGGAGAAGCAGGGUAAAGAGAAGGGUUAGGGAGGGUAAAGAGAGGGGUUAGGGAGGGUAAGAGAAGGGUUAGGGAGGGUAAGAGAGGGGUUAGGGAGGGUAAAGAGAGGGGUUAGGGAGGGUAAAGAGAGGGGUUAGGGAGGGUAAAAAGAGGGGUUAGGGAGGGUAAAGAGAGGGGUUAGGGAGGGUAAAGAGAAGGGUUAGGGAGGGUAAAGAGAGGGGUUAGGGAGGGUAAAGAGAAGGGUUAGGGAGGGUAAAGAGAAGGGUUAGGGAGGGUAAGAGGGGUUAGGGAGGGUAAGAGAAGGGUUAGGGAGGGUAGAGAAGAGGGGUUAGGGAGGGUAAAACGGGUUAGGGAGGGUAGAGAGAGGGGUUAGGGAGGGUAGAGAGAGGGGUUAGGGAGGGUAGAGAGACUGGUUAGGAGGGG